AUGCAAUCCGUAUCGACUUCAAUAUUAAAUGUUCUCCACUCACACCUGCGGGAUCAGCGACUGAGACAGCUGAUGUGCCAGAGAGAGACAACAAACCGCUGCCGACUCCGCUGGGAAUCCGGCAACACACAAAUGCCAUUAACUAGUUGGUGGCACGACAACUUUUCACAUUUUGGCCGCUGGGCAUCCAUCCACAGGACACCUCAGUUCAGCUCAAUUCGGCCGAGGAUGCCGCUGGAAUGCCAUAAACACCAAGCGGUAGUCGGGAGUCGUCAUCAUCAUUACCAUCGUGAGCGGCAUCCUGUGGGAAGAAGGAGUACCGGCCGGGGCAUCAUCCUUAUGCUAUUAUCAACAACAUCAGCCAUUGUCAAAGUUUGGCGCAUUUAUUUGGUUGCUCAAUCAGCGCCCAAAGCGAUUUUGCCGUCAAUGUUCCCCACCAAUUCCAGUGCCCCCACUGGGCCACGAGCUCUGGCUCAUUUUUAUCAAAGAGCCGGCGGAGUCCCACUUCCACCUGCGUCGCUGCCGCCAUUUACAAUAAUUACCAUCAAAUGAACAAACAAACUUUUGUGCCGCUCUUGUCCUGGACUAGUGACAAAGGCGAAAGCCGAGCUAAAAGCUCCACUGACCCCGCGAGCUCCGCCUUUUUAUAGCCAACCACCCACUCGAGCAGCAUCUCACCCAAAAGACUAAACCUCAUUUACGUGCUCUAAUAACACUAAACAGCAUAGUAAAAUCUGUUUUUGUUCGGUUCAAUAGGUUCAUAAAU
This is a non-coding RNA of Drosophila melanogaster (fruit fly), 766 nucleotides long. NCBI's taxonomy places the organism in Eukaryota, Metazoa, Arthropoda, Insecta, Diptera, Drosophilidae. The record is from Ensembl.